RNAcentral lists this long non-coding RNA (606 nucleotides) under Physcomitrium patens. RNAcentral's name for it is "long non-coding RNA (PPAT_LNC009717)". Lineage: Eukaryota; Viridiplantae; Streptophyta; Bryopsida; Funariales; Funariaceae. The record is from RNAcentral.
UCUUUUAAGUGAGUUCGAAAUUUUUCAAUUUUUUUGUACUUCUUGUCAAUUUAAUUAUUAAGAGGUGUGUAAAUUUUAAGUUAAAAUUAAUAGUUCAUUCAUUAGUUAUUGAGGUUUAAAUCUAUUGUAGGAAUUACUUAGAAUUGAUUAGGAUUUGCUUAGGAUUUGAUUAGGAUUUAAGAUUUGUUUUAGGAUUAGAAUUAGGAUUUGGAUUUGAUUUAAGGUUUUUUUAGGUUUAAGAUUUGACUAAGAUUUGUCCAAGGUUAGAAUAGAAUUUAUUUAGGAUUUGAUUAGAAUUUGAUUAGGAUUUAUAUAAGAUUUGAUCAAGUCCAAUUAGAAUUUGUCUAAGAUUUGACUAGGAUUUAUUUAGGUUUUGAUUAGGAUUUGGUUAAGAUUUGUUUAGAAUUUGAUUAGGAUUUGACUAGGAUUUUAUUAGGAUUUAUUUAGGAUUUGUUUAGGAUUUGAUUAGUGUUUGACUAAGAUUUGUCCAGAGUUUGGUUAGGGUUUAUUUAGAAUUUGACUAAGAUUCGAUAAGAAUUUGACCAAUAUUUGACUAAAUUUUGACUAAGAUUUAAUUAAGGUUUUUAUUUUAAUAUUUUAUUAAUA